GGGGCCGUAGCUCAACAGGGAGAGCGCGGCGUUCGCAUCGCCGAGGUGACGGGCCCGAGUCCCAUCAGCCCCA
RNAcentral lists this transfer RNA (73 nucleotides) under Chloroflexota bacterium. Its description in RNAcentral is "Chloroflexi bacterium (groundwater metagenome) tRNA-Ala". Lineage: Bacteria; Bacillati; Chloroflexota. The record is from RNAcentral.